Molecule: ribosomal RNA, 235 nt
Filed under: Enterobacter sp.
Lineage: Bacteria; Pseudomonadati; Pseudomonadota; Gammaproteobacteria; Enterobacterales; Enterobacteriaceae
Description: partial 16S ribosomal RNA
Rfam family: Bacterial small subunit ribosomal RNA
Source: RNAcentral
UACUGGGCGUAAGCGCACGCAGGCGGUCUGUCAAGUCGGAUGUGAAAUCCCCGGGCUCAACCUGGGAACUGCAUUCGAAACUGGCAGGCUAGAGUCUUGUAGAGGGGGGUAGAAUUCCAGGUGUAGCGGUGAAAUGCGUAGAGAUCUGGAGGAAUACCGGUGGCGAAGGCGGCCCCCUGGACAAAGACUGACGCUCAGGUGCGAAAGCGUGGGGAGCAAACAGGAUUAGAUACCC